RNAcentral lists this ribosomal RNA (402 nucleotides) under uncultured bacterium. RNAcentral's name for it is "bacterial SSU rRNA". It matches the Rfam family "Bacterial small subunit ribosomal RNA", at positions 355 to 774 of the family's 1533-position model. The record is from RNAcentral.
UAGGGAAUCUUGGACAAUGGGCGAAAGCCUGAUCCAGCCAUGCCGCGUGAGUGAUGAAGGCCUUAGGGUUGUAAAGCUCUUUCGCCAGGGAAGAUAAUGACGGUACCUGGAUAAGAAGCCCCGGCUAACUUCGUGCCAGCAGCCGCGGUAAUACGAAGGGGGCUAGCGUUGUUCGGAAUUACUGGGCGUAAAGCGCACGUAGGCGGCUUUCCAAGUUGGAGGUGAAAUCCCCGGGCUUAACCCGGGAACUGCCUCCAAAACUGAAAGGCUAGAGUCCGAGAGAGGUGAGUGGAAUUUCCAGUGUAGAGGUGAAAUUCGUAGAUAUUGGAAAGAACACCAGUGGCGAAGGCGGCUCACUGGCUCGGUACUGACGCUGAGGUGCGACAGCGCGGGGAGCAAGCA